CACCCGGACCAGUCGGAUGACCCUGAGGAUGGCCAGAGACAUGGUCUGUCCGUUUCCGUGUUCCUGAGGUUCUUCUACCUGCUGCUCGGCCAGCUCCGUCCCCACCGUGAUAAAAUAAGGCAGGAUAGACAUUAUAUCUAUGAUGUUCAUAACAGUCUUGGAAAACUCUGACUUACUAGGACAGGCGAAGAAACGGACGAUGAAUUCAAACGUAAACCAGAUUACGCAGGUGGUUUCCACGAUGAAGAAAGGGUCCGUGAAGUUUGUUCUUUGUUAUAGAGCCAAAAUAAUUGGAGAAGUUGUAACGCUUGUCGUCUGUAGAAGAAGGGGACCAAAGCGCAGCGUGGUCUGGUUUCAAGUCACAGAGGGAAACGGUAACCAUAACGACAGG
RNAcentral lists this long non-coding RNA (391 nucleotides) under Salmo salar (Atlantic salmon). Its description in RNAcentral is "lncRNA (ENSSSAG00000114937.1)". Lineage: Eukaryota; Metazoa; Chordata; Actinopteri; Salmoniformes; Salmonidae. The record is from RNAcentral.